GCAGGUGCGAAAGCAGGACAUAGUGAUCCGGUGGUUCUGAAUGGAAGGGCCAUCGCUCAACGGAUAAAAGGUACUCCGGGGAUAACAGGCUGAUUCCGCCCAAGAGUUCAUAUCGACGGCGGAGUUUGGCACCUCGAUGUCGGCUCAUCACAUCCUGGGGCUGUAGUCGGUCCCAAGGGUAUGGCUGUUCGCCAUUUAAAGUGGUACGUGAGCUGGGUUUAAAACGUCGUGAGACAGUUUGGUCCCUAUCUGCAGUGGGCGUUGGAAGUUUGACGGGGGCUGCUCCUAGUACGAGAGGACCGGAGUGGACGAACCUCUGGUGUACCGGUUGUGACGCCAGUCGCAUCGCCGGGUAGCUAAGUUCGGAAGAGAUAAACGCUGAAAGCAUCUAAGCGUGAAACUCGCCUGAAGAUGAGACUUCCCUAGGGAUUUAAUCCCUCUAAAGAGACGUUCGAGACCAGGACGUUGAUAGGUCGGGUGUGGAAGAGUGGUAACACUUGCAGCUAACCGAUACUAAUUGCUCGUGAGGCUUGACUCUAU
Molecule: ribosomal RNA, 540 nt
Filed under: Snodgrassella alvi
Lineage: Bacteria; Pseudomonadati; Pseudomonadota; Betaproteobacteria; Neisseriales; Neisseriaceae
Description: bacterial LSU rRNA
Rfam family: Bacterial large subunit ribosomal RNA
Source: RNAcentral